GACGAACGCUGGCGGCGUGCUUAACACAUGCAAGUCGAACGGAAAGGCCCUGCUUUUGUGGGGUGCUCGAUUGGCGAACGGGUGAGUAACACGUGAGUAACCUGCCCUUGACUUUGGGAUAACUUCAGGAAACUGGGGCUAAUACCGGAUAGGAGCUCCUGCUGCAUGGUGGGGGUUGGAAAGUUUCGGCGGUUGGGGAUGGACUCGCGGCUUAUCAGCUUGUUGGUGGGGUAGUGGCUUACCAAGGCUUUGACGGGUAGCCGGCCUGAGAGGGUGACCGGCGACAAUGGGACUGAGAGACGGCCCAGACGCCAACGGGAGGCAGCAGUGGGGAAUAUUGCACAAUGGGAGGAAGCCUGAUGCAGCAACGCAGCGAGCGGGAUGACGGCCUUCGGGUUGUAAACCGCUUUCGCAUGUGAAGAAGAGUGAGUGACGGUAAUGGGUAAAGAAGCACCGGCUAACUACGUG
This 468-nucleotide ribosomal RNA is filed under the name uncultured bacterium. RNAcentral's name for it is "partial 16S ribosomal RNA". It matches the Rfam family "Bacterial small subunit ribosomal RNA", at positions 28 to 507 of the family's 1533-position model. The record is from RNAcentral.